AAGAAAUUAGGUUCAAUCUCCAAGCC
RNAcentral lists this transfer RNA (26 nucleotides) under Mecistops cataphractus (African slender-snouted crocodile). RNAcentral's name for it is "partial tRNA-Trp". The record is from RNAcentral. Lineage: Eukaryota; Metazoa; Chordata; Crocodylia; Crocodylidae.